GACGUAGGGCGCGAGCGUUGUCCGGAUUUAUUGGGCGUAAAGAGCUCGUAGGCGGUUUGUCGCGUCUGCUGUGAAAACCCGAGGCUCAACCUCGGGCCUGCAGUGGGUACGGGGCAGACUAGAGUGCGGUAGGGGGAGAUUGGAAUUCCUGGUGUAGCGGUGGAAUGCGCAGAUAUCAGGAGGAACACCAAUGGCGAAGGCAGAUCUCUGGGCCGUAACUGACGCUGAGGAGCGAAAAGCAUGGGGGAGCGAACAGG
Molecule: ribosomal RNA, 257 nt
Filed under: uncultured bacterium
Lineage: Bacteria
Description: partial 16S ribosomal RNA
Rfam family: Bacterial small subunit ribosomal RNA
Source: RNAcentral